Molecule: ribosomal RNA, 502 nt
Filed under: uncultured bacterium
Lineage: Bacteria
Description: bacterial SSU rRNA
Rfam family: Bacterial small subunit ribosomal RNA
Source: RNAcentral
AACGAACGCUGGCGGCGCGCCUAAUACAUGCAAGUCGAGCGAGAAGACGUAGCAAUACGUUUGUAAAGCGGCGAACGGGUGAGGAAUACAUGGGUAACCUACCCUCGAGUGGGGAAUAACUAGCCGAAAGGUUAGCUAAUACCGCGUACGCUCCUUGGACUUCGGUUCAGGGAGGAAAGCGAUACCGUGGGUAUCGCGCUCUUGGAUGGGCUCAUGUCCUAUCAGCUUGUUGGUGAGGAACGGCUCACCAAGGCUUCGACGGGUAGCUGGUCUGAGAGGACGAUCAGCCACACUGGCACUGCGACACGGGCCAGACUCCUACGGGAGGCAGCAGUAAGGAAUAUUGCGCAAUGGGCGAAAGCCUGACGCAGCGACGCCGCGUGGGGGAUGAAGGUCUUCGGAUUGUAAACCCCUUUUCGGGAGGGAAGAUGGAAUGGGGUAACCCCAUUCGGACGGUACCUCCAGAAGCAGCCACGGCUAACUUCGUGCCAGCCGCCGCCGU